GUCUAUAGCCAUACCACCCUGAACAUGCCCAAUCUCAUCUGAUCUCGGAUGCUAAGCAGGGUUGGGCCUGGUUAGUACUUGGAUGGGGAAGUUUUUCCAUUAAAAUUCCUUCAAGACAAGAGAUGUUGAGG
This 131-nucleotide ribosomal RNA is filed under the name Echinops telfairi (small Madagascar hedgehog). The record is from RNAcentral. Lineage: Eukaryota; Metazoa; Chordata; Mammalia; Afrosoricida; Tenrecidae.